UACAGAGGUCUCAAGCGUUGUUCGGAUUCAUUGGGCGUAAAGGGCGCGUAGGCGGCAAGGCAAGUCGGGUGUGAAAGCUUGGGGCUUAACCCCGAAAGGGCACUCGAAACUGCCCUGCUAGAGGGCCGGAGAGGAGAUCGGAAUUCCUGGUGUAGCGGUGAAAUGCGCAGAUAUCAGGAGGAACACCGGUGGCGAAGGCGGAUCUCUGGGCCAUUACUGACGCUGAGGAGCGAAAGCGUGGGGAGCGAACAGG
RNAcentral lists this ribosomal RNA (253 nucleotides) under uncultured bacterium. Its description in RNAcentral is "partial 16S ribosomal RNA". It matches the Rfam family "Bacterial small subunit ribosomal RNA", at positions 524 to 776 of the family's 1533-position model. The record is from RNAcentral.